RNAcentral lists this ribosomal RNA (478 nucleotides) under uncultured bacterium. RNAcentral describes it as "partial 16S ribosomal RNA". It matches the Rfam family "Bacterial small subunit ribosomal RNA", at positions 28 to 523 of the family's 1533-position model. The record is from RNAcentral.
GACGAACGCUGGCGGCGUGCUUAACACAUGCAAGUCGAACGGUAAGGCCCUUCGGGGUACACGAGUGGCGAACGGGUGAGUAACACGUGGGUGAUCUGCCCUGCACUUCGGGAUAAGACUGGGAAACUGGGUCUAAUACCGGAUAGGACCACUGCCUGCAUGGGGGGUGGUGGAAAGCUUUUGCGGUGUGGGAUGGGCCCGCGGCCUAUCAGCUUGUUGGUGGGGUGAUGGCCUACCAAGGCGACGACGGGUAGCCGGCCUGAGAGGGUGACCGGCCACACUGGGACUGAGAUACGGCCCAGACUCCUACGGGAGGCAGCAGUGGGGAAUAUUGCACAAUGGGCGCAAGCCUGAUGCAGCGACGCCGCGUGAGGGAUGACGGCCUUCGGGUUGUAAACCUCUUUCAGCACCGACGAAGCGCAAGUGACGGUAGGUGCAGAAGAAGGACCGGCCAACUACGUGCCAGCAGCCGCAGUAA